This 506-nucleotide RNase P RNA is filed under the name Treponema sp. Its description in RNAcentral is "RNase P RNA component class A". It matches the Rfam family "Bacterial RNase P class A". From Rfam's summary of the family: Ribonuclease P (RNase P) is a ubiquitous endoribonuclease, found in archaea, bacteria and eukarya as well as chloroplasts and mitochondria. Its best characterised activity is the generation of mature 5'-ends of tRNAs by cleaving the 5'-leader elements of precursor-tRNAs. The record is from RNAcentral. Lineage: Bacteria; Pseudomonadati; Spirochaetota; Spirochaetia; Treponematales; Treponemataceae.
GCGAUGAACCAGGCUGCCGCUUUAGGUUCGCCAAUGCGCGAAUCUAAGGAGGAAAGUCCGGGCUCCGCAGGGCAUGAUGCCGGGUAACGCCCGGGACCCGGAAACGGGGACAGACAGCGCCACAGAAAACAAACCGCCUGACCGCUAAAAAUGCUGAACAUUGAUUUUUCUUAGGCCUUUUUGGCAUUUUUAGUGGUCAGGUAAGGGUGAAAAGGCGGGGUAAGAGCCCACCUCGGCAUUGGCAACAGUGUCGGUAAGAUUCCGGUUUUGCCGGAAAAAGGCAAGCCUCAUCAGGAGCAAAGUCAAAUAUGCGCGGGUAAACGGCUUUUCAGCCAUUUAUCGCCGGCUGCCCGCCGGUUAAGCGCGGGUAGACUGCUAAAAGGAGCCGGGAACCCCCGCUGAGCCGCAAGGCGGCGAAGGUUCCCCUCCGGUAACGGCUUUUUUAGACAGAUGGCAGCGUCCGGCUUUGGCCGGAAACAGAACCCGGCUUACGGUUCAUCGUGUUU